GAUGAACGCUAGCGGCAGGCUUAACACAUGCAAGUCGAGGGGCAGCGCGGGUAGCAAUACCUGGCGGCGACCGGCAAACGGGUGCGGAACACGUACAGAACCUACCUCUAUCUGGGGCAUAGCCCGAAGAAAUUCGGAUUAACUCCCCAUAAUAUAGAAGAGUGGCAUCACUAGACUAUUAAAAUUUAUUGGAUAAAGAUGGCUGUGCGUCCCAUUAGCUAGUUGGAGGGUAACGGCCUACCAAGGCGACGAUGGGUAGCUGGUGCGAGAGCACGACCAGCCACACGGGCACUGAGACACGGGCCCGACUCCUACGGGAGGCAGCAGUGAGGAAUAUUGGUCAAUGGACGCAAGUCUGAACCAGCCAUGCCGCGUGAAGGAUGAAGGCCUUCUGGGUUGUAAACUUCUUUUACCUGGGAAGAAACCUACC
This 430-nucleotide ribosomal RNA is filed under the name uncultured bacterium. RNAcentral describes it as "bacterial SSU rRNA". It matches the Rfam family "Bacterial small subunit ribosomal RNA", at positions 28 to 456 of the family's 1533-position model. The record is from RNAcentral.